RNAcentral lists this non-coding RNA (147 nucleotides) under Roseovarius pacificus. RNAcentral describes it as "Ruegeria cis2 sRNA". It matches the Rfam family "Ruegeria cis2 sRNA". Rfam says of the family: Cis-encoded. Lineage: Bacteria; Pseudomonadati; Pseudomonadota; Alphaproteobacteria; Rhodobacterales; Roseobacteraceae. The record is from Rfam by way of RNAcentral.
AUUGCGUGGGAAGUAAUUGAUGAAGGUAAAGCCCCGGCACUGGUCGAUGGCGUGAAACAACGGGUUCCAGUCGAACAUUGCGACCAUGAAGGACGGCAGGGAGUUGGCAACGAACAUCUUGCCCGAGGCGAUCAUGUUCGCGCGCUG